Molecule: unclassified non-coding RNA, 7109 nt
Filed under: Leishmania donovani
Lineage: Eukaryota; Euglenozoa; Kinetoplastea; Trypanosomatida; Trypanosomatidae
Description: gene:LdHU3.31.2190(CDS-product:hypothetical_prote in_conserved)
Source: RNAcentral
CUGCCCAUGAUAUGUGGGACUGAAGUCAACGUCCUCUCGUUUCGUUCUUCGUAGCGGGUGAACGCGUGCUUUCAAGCAGCGCUGCGCUCGAAGUCAAGCAACACAUCACACGCACACACACACACACACACACCACUCCCCACGGCCAGAAAAGGAAAAGAAGGGGAGCAGAGCCGACUUCCCCGAUCACCUGCUCGUGAAUCCACAGCUGCUUCAUACACACAACCCUUCAGGAGGGAGGGGGCGGCGAGAGGCGGCAAGCGCCACAAGGGGUGCAGCUUGGGUCUACCCCUUUUUAUUUGGCAACCCCUCGUCGUUUUCUAUCGUCCACAGCGUCGGAAACGAGUGCAUUCAUACUACUCCCAGCUCAGAAGGGAGAGAGGGUGUGGCGCAGCACUUUCCCUUUCUCUUUUUUUCAUUUUUGUAUUUGCUGCUGUUGCGUCUCUCCACAUCUGUGUUGGGAUCGAUAACCUUUUCCUCUGCCUGCCCUCUUUUCGCGUGGUUUUACCGCUGUGCCCUUGGGCUUGACGUGCAGAUCUGUGCACGCCUUUGUAUGUAUCGGGGUAUAUAUAUAUAUUUGUGUGCGUGUGUUGUGUGUGCAUCUGCUCAGAAGUUCGUGCUGCCUUUUUUUCUGUUGCAAACAAAACAAAUUCACUUGGGUUGUUCUAUAUAUAUAUAUAGUUUAUCUACAAAGUCUCCAGCUGACAGCCACGUGCUGGGGUUGGCGUCGUGUGUGGUGUUUAGACUAGACGCACCCACUGCCGGUGCCUUGUUCUCCCUCACUCUUUCGGUGUGUGUGUGCUGUCUGUGGACUCGAUAUCACGUUCUUCUUCCGCCUUUUUCGUGCCGUGCCCGCGCCUCUACUGUGCGUGUUUCAUUCCUGGUGAGCUCUGUGUUUUCAUUGGCUCCGGCUCGGUGUGUGUGUGUGUGUGGGAUCGUCACCGCGUGAGGGUCGAUGCGCAAGUGGCUCGGGGGUGCACUGCCGAUGUUUUCUUUCCGUUCGUGUUUGUGCUGAGAACCCCAUUCUUUUUUUGGCUGGCGUUGCCCUUUCACUACUCUGUAAUUGGCUGCACACUUGAUGUACACUAGCAGUGCUGCAACCGUGGGCGACGGCGGAGAGUGUGAGACUCGCCACGGCAUUGGGACAGCCAUUCCGGAGCCACGCGCAGACGUUGGCAGUAGCGGUAGCAAUGGAAUUGCAGCGGCCGCUCGGCCGUCCAGGUCUCUUUCCUCGUUCUCUUCUCUGUUUGCUAGUCUCGCGCGGCCCACCGGGCUCGGCACCUCUGCAAGCGACGUAGGCGGCUUUGACUGUGCCUCAGCAGGCGCCGUUGUUCAUGGGGUCGAAGACGCUACAGCCGAAUCUCGCCGCCACCGUUACAGCACCCACUCCAUAUCACCCCUUCCGCAUCCGUUGCUACCACGGCCACAUCAUAGCCUCAAUCUGCUUCGGACCAGUGCCCAUCGCGGUUUCACCACAAUGAGCACGCGGGGGUCACGGCGGCAUGACAUGGCCCACAGCGGCGCACCACCACCGCGCCGGACAUCUGUGGUGGUGGCAGCUGAAACGCGGCAAAAGAUGGAUGCGGAGACGGAAGAAAAGGAUGCGCCUGCUCUCUCACUUGCCUGUGGUGGCUCAUCAGCGUCUUCCAUUGAUGGAUGGCGCACGUCUAUGAGCCCUGCCCCCUUUGUGACAAUCGGAGCAGCAUCAGCUGCAGCAUCGUCGACAGACUCAACGUCCACCCCAACCGCUCUCGCCAACGGGUGCGCCGAUCCCUCACUAUCGCGAGUAGGCGCCGCGUUGGCCAGGGCGUCUGCGGCCCGAGAAUUCUAUAAGGGGGAUGCCAGCAGCGGCAGCGGCAACGCCGUCCCUCGACGUAAGACGGUCCACGAUCCCAGCAGUGGCUCGUCGUUCGCACCCUCUCUGACUGUGAAAGGCCGCCACCACCAGCACCGCUGCGGAAAGGUUGACAAGGAAGAGCAUAGUAGCGGCAGCAGUGCUGGUCCACGCGACAAAUCGCAGAAGGCCAGGCUGGCCGCAGACGUCUGCGCCGAUCCACCGAAGUUAUCUCGCCAUCCCUAUCAACUGGGCGUAGAAAACUUCUCAGAGUUGGCAGCGGAGCCGGCCGCACCUCGGUGUCGCGUGAGCGCCGAUGCCGUUCCCUGUGGGCCGUCUUCCUGGAGCGCGUUUGCAGGAGACCGCGCCGAGGCUUCCAGCCCGACUGCUGCACCGUCUGCCGUCGAGGUGUCUCACUCACCGGUGACGUCAUCCUCUCGUCCUAACGUCACUUUCCGGGCGAAAUGCACGGGCCACUUGAAGCCGUCUCUGUCGGCCACGCCAGGCUCUCCGAAGGCGAUAAGUGUGACCAUGCCAUCUAUGUGCUUCAUCUACACACGGACCAGUGGCCGGAGCAAGGAUCGAAGUCGAGAGAAGUCCAAGUAUCGCUCGCUAUCGGCGGCAAAGAAUGCACUCGGCGAUGGCGUUUGUGCUGUCGUCGCUGCGUCGACCGAGUCCUCGGCCACUGCUAUGAAGGUGAGGGACCUCACUGACGAGCGUGCCGCGGCCACCACCCACAUCGCCUCAGAGCCAGUAUCGCUGCCGACACAGCUUCCCCUCAGACGCGGUACGCUGCCGCAGGCAAAUACAAAAAGGACGCCCGGACAGCCCAGUGCGCGUACCCCUUUUACGCGCAGCGUCACCUACACGUGUGCGCGUGUACAGGAGCCAAGGCCGGCGGCUCAGUCGCCUUCUGACGGACGCGGGCGCCCUGCGGACGAGAAGCGUAACGAUGCCUCACGAAAGGAUGUCGGCCACGCGGCGGAUUGUGUUUUGCGGCACACAAGCGCGAGGGAUUUUGAAGAGGCGUCGCACUCGCACCUGCAGCGGUGGCGCCAACGCCAAGAAGAGAAUCGCUCAAGGGCGAAGGAUGUGACGUCAAUCAGCGCCUCAACGCCGCCCGCUGUCGAGAGUGCCACGACGUUAAGAGAUGCGCCGAUGAAGAGUAAGGUAGGCGCAGCACCAAAAGAACAGGAGCUGAAGCCAUUGCCGAGUGAGCCAGCGACGGACGCGUCGAGGCAGCGGCAAGGGAAAAGAGAAAAGCCAUCAACGCAAGCGGCCAGCACCGCCAAUACCGACCUGGCCGUUGCGCCACAGCCGCCGACAGAGGAGCCGGAAAGACAGCGCAGAAUAUCUGUGGGAGUAGAGGCCCGAAAUGCUGCUAGCCCGCCUACUGUAAGUGGGUUCUUCCUCCUCAGUGAAGUCAGGUACUGCGGCAAUGUGCCAGACUCACCGGAAGCUGUGCUGGCGUCUGCUGCCUCCAAGCGGAACUCAAAGGCGUCGACGCCGCCGCCGCCGCCGAAGCCGCCAUCUACCGCGCAAAGUCGAAGCGUGAUUGAUGGCUCUGCGGCUGCAGCUGCCAGAAACCAUGAGGCACAGGCUGAAUCGACUGCCAACGUGUCAACUCACCCCCCACCGAGCAUGUCCUCCCCCAGCUGCUGCCUGACAGAGGACCCGAGACAUCGAGUCGCUGCGAAAGAUGGCAUUCCGGUGGACCGGAAAGCGCAGCCACCGCCGCUGCCGUCAGCGCAACACACAAGCCAUUCUGGAUUCGUGUCAGUAGCGGCUGAAGGUGUUACUCCGGCUAGCCGCUGGCUACUGGAUCGUACAUCGGCGCACCAGUCUGCGCCCUGCCAGACCACGAAAGGACCUACAGCGACUGCAAAGGAAGACGCUGCGCCAUUCCUGUCAGCCAGCGCCGCCGAUACGCGGGGGCUGUUCCGUGCAGUGCUCGGGCGUCGUGAGCAACGGCUUCAGCUCCAGGAGUACUCGAGGAACGCUGGCCGCGUCUUUCCUCAACAGCCGACCUCGAUCGAGACUCCUGCUGGGGGGUCUGGUGGAGUUGAGGUGCCACCGGUUUUCUCUAGCGUUGAGCAGCCAAGCACGCGUCGCACCGCCGUCACCUCCAGCCCAUGCCCGUCUCCACGGGCGCUGACGCAGGACACGAACGUGUCCGCCCCGUUGAAGGUUGAGCCUACGCGCUCGGCCGCACGUGCUGCCCGUACCGUGACCCUUGAGGGUGUCGAGGCGCUUCGCAUGAGGUCUGCUGUGAGUUCGCCGACGGGUCCCGAAACUGGCAAAAACGCGUCACGCAGCGGCGGCGGGGUAGCGGCACAGAUACACACUGAGCCCGCUCUCUCCGCUCAGCACAUGGGUGGAGAUUUUCGAAGCUCUUCUUCCAGCACCCAAGCGUCCGCUGAGCAGGCAAGCCCGCAUCUCAAGUCACUGCAACGCUCGAAGGACGGGGAGCUGGCGGAGCGACCGCCCUCCAGCCGGACACCCGGCGCGUACACGCCUCUCCUACACUGGAUUCGCCAAAACAGGACGCAGAUGCCGCACCCCAGCGGUGGUGCACCAACACCCCUGCCGGUAGUCGACGUGGCAGCUGGUCACGCUGCAAUAUCCGAAACGACCAAGAUUGAGCAGAACCCCCACCUUGUCGAGCGAUGCGCUCUCGUUAACAAGUACCACCGACCAAGCAGAACCGCCAGCGACACGGAGGUGGACAACAACGAGGCGCAGCUACCCGAGGCGGGUGCGUCGCGGCAGGCCCCCAACGAGCUGUUGCUCCGGAAGUUGGCAGACGCGCGUGGCUCUCAUCGACGCAGUAGCACUAACAGCUCCGUGUGCGUUUCCUCCCUGGACAAGGCCGUGACGUCGGUGAGGCAUCCGACUCCAGCGCCUGCGCAUCCGUCGUGUCAAGGCGCAGCUGAAGGUCACAGCACUCCCGUAGCGGAGGGAGAGCUACUGCCUAAUGCUCCCACUUCUUCUGUGGUCGACAACGCGAAAGGGGCCUCCACCUGCACCGUUGCUUCUCUCGGCGACAUUCAGCUAGACGAGCUGGACAAACUCGAGCAGAGCAUCAACGCACUGCUGAAGAAUUACGGGCCCAGAAAGGCGGCAGACGAGGGGAGCGCGCCGGCGAAGUUGACGGCCGCCGCUGCGCUCAUGUGUGAGACAUCUCCGCCUGUCAAAACGUCCACGAGUACGAAUGCAAGGCACAGGGAGGCCAUGGAAGCCGUGAAUAAAUACAACAGAAACGAUCCAAAGGACGACACGCUGGCGCCGAGCAACUCCCAAGACAGUAGCCGCGCCUGGCCUCAUCACAGCUGUGCGGUCGAAACCGACGAUGACGACAGCCAGUUGGAAGGAAGCGGACUUUGGUGUGGGGACGAAGACGCGCACGAAGCCAAUCCACCGCCGGUGUUUGUGCCGCCGCUUGACCUGACGCUGCUGCUGCUGCCAACGGGCGACUCAGAAGAACUCAAGCCAUAUCGCAUUCCGCUGCCCUCUGCCGUGCCGGCACCCGAAGAGGCACACCGGCGUUUUCUUUGCAGCAUCGGCGCCUAUGCGGCAGCCUUUGGCGAAGAAGGGAGCACAGCGACUGCAGGCGACAGCCUCGGGGCUGGUGCGGUGGCGGAUGCUCCAAGCGCGCCUGCGUCAAUGACGGGCGUGGAAGAUGCCGCGCUGCCACCCGGCAACUCUGCAUCGUUGAAUGACUCGUGCUCGCCGCCUUCACGGCGGGCCAGCAAGAGCUGCACGUCCCUCACGCCCGUCUCCCCGUUUGUGAAUGAGCGUGCUCGGCGAAUGCGAGCUUCACGACAGCCUUUUUCGACGACGGGGCCGUCCACCGUGAACGUGCGGAGUCCGAGGGCAUCUCGCCAUGCGGCAGGCGCUGUGAAGGACGGUGCCGACAAGGCGGUGAGCGAGGAGGGCGAAGCUGGCAAGGCGUUGCUCAUGGAGAAAGCUGCAGAUGCUAUCCCGACGGAAGAGAACGAAAUGCUUCGUUCCAGCGGCGGGGCUGACCACGUGCGGUCGCGCGUAGCUCCCAUGGUGCUUUUCACAGACGACAGCGAUGCCUUGGAUGGAGGUCGCGGUGCCGAGCGCGACCGACGCGUGAACCUCCAGCGAGGUCGGGCGCAGCGCAUUCUUCUGGAUUGUCAGGAGCAGCGGGAGCGCAAGGAUACUGUCCUUGAAGAGUUGAACGCCUUGAAGACUCUGACCAAGCGCUUCUAACGGCGCGCUCGUUAACACCUGCGCUCGUGUCUUAGGGCGUUUGUGGGUGUGGGAUGAGUGCGGUCGAGCCGCCUUGAAGUACGCCGGAUCCAUGUGCACUUCUGUGCAUGAUUGCUCAAACUCCGCCUCUCCCCCCCCUUGUGCGUUGGUGUGCUGCGCAGGCGUAUGAUUGGCUGCCAUCGAUGCUGGUUUUUGUCGCUGUGGUGAGGGAUCGCCUUUUUUUCUACAUAAACAUUUUUCGCUGUUUGCCUCUUCAGGAGGAAAGACAGAGGGCGAGAGGUCUACCGCCAAGACUCGGUUUGGUCUGUUCUCAUCGCACCCAUCUUGCAUAUGGUUUCCGUUGCCCUCCCGUUGCCCUCCCGUUGUCCGUCGCGCGCGCGCACGCCAUCUCCACCCGCGCAGCUCUAAGCUUACUCCCUUUUUCCCCCUUUCCCUUUAGGGGUGUGCACACGUGCAGGUGAACCGGCUUUGCGCGUUUCCAUAAGUCCUCCAAGAUGGUGCUACAGUAUAGUACGGAGGCUUUGUUGCUGCGGUUGCUGGUGGUGGCGGCGUGUUUGUGGCAUUGGGACUGCAUGCUCGCCUAGGCUCUCUCGCUCUGGAUCACCAAGUCUCUGCCUCCACUGCUGGUUACCGCGCUUUUCUUUUCGCGUUUGCUCACUGGUGCACUGUUUCCCAUCACCUUUUCUUUUCUCUCUCUUUGCCCGCCGGCCUCGCCCUCCUUCGUCAUAUCCGCGUUCCAUGUCUUGUGGUGCCGCCCCUGCCUUGGCGCCUCGUUAUCUUCUGCACUCCCUGCUUUUUUUUUUUCGACGACAACGGCUGCGCAUGCUGUCCCUCUCUUCGCAGCUCUGUUUGUUUGUUCGAAGGGCGUCUCCACCGCUCACCUCACUGUCUCACGAUCUCCUCCCCUCUCCACAAACGGAGAAACGCAGUGCGCCUUGGAAACUUAUAAGUGCGCCUCAACAAUCGAUGAAGAGCUCUCCUGGUCCUCGAGCUAUCUCUGACUGUCGGCCAUUCGCCCCCACCCCCUCCCCCAGCUCGC